UGGACGUGCGUGAUCGUGCAGAGGAAGUUGGGAAAAGCAUUAGAGGAGGUGACGUACAAAGAAAAAAUGAG
This 71-nucleotide transfer RNA is filed under the name Diaphanoeca grandis. The record is from RNAcentral. Lineage: Eukaryota; Choanoflagellata; Acanthoecida; Stephanoecidae.